CCUACGGGAGACUGCAGUGGGGAAUAUUGCACAAUGGGGGAAACUCUGAUGCAGCGACGCCGCGUGAGUGAAGAAGUAUUUCGGUAUGUAAAGCUCUAUCAGCAGGGAAGAAAAUGACGGUACCUGAUUAAGAAGCCCCGGCUAACUACGUGCCAGCAGCCGCGGUAAUACGUAGGGGGCAAGCGUUAUCCGGAUUUACUGGGUGUAAGGGGAGCGUAGACGGCGGCGCAAGUCUGAAGUGAAAUGCCGGGGCUUAACCCCGGAACUGCUUUGGAAACUGUGCAGCUAGAGUGCAGGAGAGGUAAGCGGAAUUCCUAGUGUAGCGGUGAAAUGCGUAGAUAUUAGGAGGAACACCAGUGGCGAAGGCGGCUUACUGGACUGUAACUGACGUUGAGGCUCGAAGGCGUGGGGAGCAAACAGGAUUAGAUACCCCAGUAGUC
RNAcentral lists this ribosomal RNA (440 nucleotides) under uncultured bacterium. Its description in RNAcentral is "partial 16S ribosomal RNA". It matches the Rfam family "Bacterial small subunit ribosomal RNA", at positions 338 to 795 of the family's 1533-position model. The record is from RNAcentral.